This 447-nucleotide ribosomal RNA is filed under the name uncultured bacterium. RNAcentral's name for it is "bacterial SSU rRNA". It matches the Rfam family "Bacterial small subunit ribosomal RNA", at positions 331 to 795 of the family's 1533-position model. The record is from RNAcentral.
CCAGACUCCUACGGGAGGCAGCAGUGGGGAAUAUUGCACAAUGGGGGAAACCCUGAUGCAGCGACGCCGCGUGAAGGAAGAAGUAUUUCGGUAUGUAAACUUCUAUCAGCAGGGAAGAAAAUGACGGUACCUGACUAAGAAGCCCCGGCUAACUACGUGCCAGCAGCCGCGGUAAUACGUAGGGGGCAAGCGUUAUCCGGAUUUACUGGGUGUAAAGGGAGCGUAGGCGGUUUAGCAAGUCAGAAGUGAAAGCCCGGGGCUCAACUCCGGGACUGCUCUUGGAACUGCGUGGCUGGAGUGCAGGAGGGGCAGGCGGAAUUCCUGGUGUAGCGGUGAAAUGCGUAGAUAUCAGGAGGAACACCGGUGGCGAAGGCGGCCUGCUGGACUGCAACUGACGUUGAGGCCCGAAAGCGUGGGGAGCAAACAGGAUUAGAUACCCCUGUAGCC